This 468-nucleotide ribosomal RNA is filed under the name uncultured bacterium. RNAcentral's name for it is "partial 16S ribosomal RNA". It matches the Rfam family "Bacterial small subunit ribosomal RNA", at positions 28 to 507 of the family's 1533-position model. The record is from RNAcentral.
GACGAACGCUGGCGGCGUGCUUAACACAUGCAAGUCGAACGGAAAGGCCCUGCUUUUGUGGGGUGCUCGAGUGGCGAACGGGUGAGUAACACGUGAGUAACCUGCCCUUGACUUUGGGAUAACUUCAGGAAACUGGGGCUAAUACCGGAUAGGAGCUCCUGCUGCAUGGUGGGGGUUGGAAAGUUUCGGCGGUUGGGGAUGGACUCGCGGCUUAUCAGCUUGUUGGUGGGGUAGUGGCUUACCAAGGCUUUGACGGGUAGCCGGCCUGGGAGGGUGACCGGCCACAUCGGGACUGAGAUGAGGCCCAGACUCCUACGGGAGGCAGCAGUGGGGAAGAGUGCACUAGGGGCGGAAGCCUGAUGCAGCAACGCCGCGUGCGGGAUGACGGCCUUCGGGUUGUAAACCGCUUUCGCCUGUGACGAAGCGUGAGUGACGGUAAUGGGUAAAGAAGCACCGGCUAACUACGUG